This 343-nucleotide ribosomal RNA is filed under the name uncultured Gammaproteobacteria bacterium. RNAcentral's name for it is "bacterial SSU rRNA". It matches the Rfam family "Bacterial small subunit ribosomal RNA", at positions 30 to 377 of the family's 1533-position model. Lineage: Bacteria; Pseudomonadati; Pseudomonadota; Gammaproteobacteria. The record is from RNAcentral.
AUUGAACGCUGGCGGCAGGCCUAACACAUGCAAGUCGAGCGAGAAAGGUCUUCGGACUGAGUACAGCGGCGGACGGGUGAGUAACGCGUAGGAAUCUACCCAGUAGUGGGGGACAACUCGGGCAAACUCGAGCUAAUACCGCAUACGCCCUAAGGGGGAAGCGGGGGCUCUUCGGACCUCGCGCUAUUGGAUGAGCCUGCGUUGGAUUAGCUAGUUGGUGGGGCAAAGGCCUACCAAGGCGACGAUCCAUAGCUGGUCUGAGAGGACGAUCAGCCACACUGGGACUGAGACACGGCCCAGACUCCUACGGGAGGCAGCAGUGGGGAAUUUUCCGCAAUGGGCG